AGAGUUUGAUUCUGGCUCAGGAUGAACGCUGGCGGCGUGCCUAACACAUGCAAGUCGAGCGGAAAUCCAAAUGUACUCGUACAGGCGGUAUUUAGCGGCGGACGGGCGAGUAACACGUGAGCAACCUGCCUUUUUGCUGGGGAAUAACAUUGGGAAACCAGUGCUAAUACCGCAUGACGUCAUAGGGGGACAUCCCCUGGUGACCAAAGGAGAAAUCCGGCAGAAGAUGGGCUCGCGUCCGAUUAGUUAGUUGGCGGGUAACGGCCCACCAAGACCGCGAUCGGUAGCCGAACUGAGAGGUUGAUCGGCCACAUUGGGACUGAGACACGGCCCAGACUCCUACGGGAGGCAGCAGUGGGGAAUAUUGGGCAAUGGGGGAAACCCUGACCCAGCAACGCCGCGUGAAGGACGAAGGCCUUCGGGUUGUAAACUUCUUUGAUCAGGGACGAAGGCAAUGACGGUACCUGAAGAACAAGCCACGGCUAACUACGUGCCAGCCGCCGC
Molecule: ribosomal RNA, 504 nt
Filed under: uncultured bacterium
Lineage: Bacteria
Description: bacterial SSU rRNA
Rfam family: Bacterial small subunit ribosomal RNA
Source: RNAcentral